AAGGGAUGUGGGACGCUUUCUCUUCUUCUCUACUUGAAUUUCACUCCUUUUCUCCCCUUUCGGCUCCCUUUUUGAUUUUAUUGCUUAACCAUCUUUCCGGGACUUUCCGGGUGGCUACUGGCAAAUCAGAACUGAUUUGUUUUUUUCUCCAGUUAGCCAUGCAAAGCAGCACCUCCAGGCGGAGAAAGCAGAUCUUGACCUCAUCCGCUUGCUUACGGCGCCUUUGUCGCACAGAACUACUGGACAGCAGCAUCACGUUUUCUGCGUCCUUUCAGCCGCCCAGAGCGGCUCAACUUGACUUCACCUCCACGGUACACCAGCGGCGUAGAGGAAGCCCUUUGGGAGCCCUUAUUUCCUUCAAAGCCCAGCCUGGACUGAAGAUCCCUUGGUUUCGAGGCCAGCAGGCACAUUGGUGCUGGCCAGUAUCCUGACCAGUAGGUGACGAUGGUAUCUGUGGUUCCCAGCUGGCAUCUCUGUGUGUCUGUGUGAAUUAACGCGCCACCGUUGAGCCUGUCGGACGUUGCCCAGGGAGUGCCCAGUGACCCGCCUCGCCUGCCCAGUGUUCAGACUACCUGUUCAGGAAGUUGUGGUUGUACAGUAGUCUGCACAUUGGUUAGGCUGUGUGGGGGAGCUCGAGACAUCAAGACCCGCAGCCUCAUCGAGCACAGACGCCGAGAACCCCGUGAUGUGCUCCGCGCCAGGCCUUGUUCAGCCGAGCACGAGGCGUUUUCUAGCUGAACAGGGGUGGUACAGUCGUUUACUCUACCAGUCACUCAAAGACAGCACACUCUGGGCCACCCCCCCUCAAGGUUACACCUUGGUCCUGCCAUUGAAGGGUACCGCUAGUGUCACAGGGCGUCACAGUCAUCAUUGCAAUCGCUAAUCUAGCUCCUGCGGGACUUUGUUUGAUGUUGUAUUUGUGAGACGGUGUUUUUCCUAUUCGAGAACAUGCUGUAAAACAGAAAAUCCUCUUCUCUCUAUUUAAAUACUAACUUAUAAAAAUCUUUCCAGCUACAGUUUUUGCUCAAUGUGGUGUUGGUGGUGGGUGUAUUAAAAUGCUUUGCAAAUGCAACUGACUUAACUGCGGUUGCUUCAUGA
Long non-coding RNA from Lepisosteus oculatus (spotted gar), 1098 nucleotides. RefSeq lists it as uncharacterized. The record is from RefSeq and is a predicted model, not a curated record. NCBI's taxonomy places the organism in Eukaryota, Metazoa, Chordata, Actinopteri, Semionotiformes, Lepisosteidae.